CAACUAAAGAUGGCGACCGGCGCACGGGUGAGUAACACGUAUCCAACCUGCCUCAUACUCGGGGAUAGCCUUUCGAAAGAAAGAUUAAUAUCCGAUAGCAUAUAUUUCCCGCAUGGGUUUUAUAUUAAAGAAAUUCGGUAUGAGAUGGGGAUGCGUUCCAUUAGUUUGUUGGGGGGGUAACGGCCCACCAAGACUACGAUGGAUAGGGGUUCUGAGAGGAAGGUCCCCCACAUUGGAACUGAGACACGGUCCAA
This 254-nucleotide ribosomal RNA is filed under the name uncultured bacterium. Its description in RNAcentral is "partial 16S ribosomal RNA". It matches the Rfam family "Bacterial small subunit ribosomal RNA", at positions 72 to 334 of the family's 1533-position model. The record is from RNAcentral.